RNAcentral lists this non-coding RNA (21 nucleotides) under Arabidopsis thaliana (thale cress). The record is from RNAcentral. Lineage: Eukaryota; Viridiplantae; Streptophyta; Magnoliopsida; Brassicales; Brassicaceae.
CUGCCAGUAGUCAUAUGCUUG